AGUAGUUUAACGGUAGAAUAUUUGGCUUCCAACCAAAAGGCGCGGGUUCAACUCCCGCUUG
Molecule: transfer RNA, 61 nt
Filed under: bovine gut metagenome
Rfam family: tRNA
About the family: Transfer RNA (tRNA) molecules are approximately 80 nucleotides in length.
Source: RNAcentral